GCGCCCUUAGCUCAGCGGAUUAGAGCGUCUGUCUUCGGAACAGAAGGUCGUAGGUUCGAAUCCUGCAGGGCGUACCA
Molecule: transfer RNA, 77 nt
Filed under: Candidatus Saccharimonadota bacterium
Lineage: Bacteria; Candidatus Saccharimonadota
Also listed under: 2 other names
Description: tRNA-Arg
Rfam family: tRNA
About the family: Transfer RNA (tRNA) molecules are approximately 80 nucleotides in length. Their secondary structure includes four short double-helical elements and three loops (D, anti-codon, and T loops).
Source: RNAcentral